UACGUAGGGUGCGAGCGUUAAUCGGAAUUACUGGGCGUAAAGCGUGCGCAGGCGGUUGUGUAAGACAGAUGUGAAAUGCCCGGGCUUAACCUGGGAACUGCAUUUGUGACUGCACGGCUAGAGUGUGUCAGAGGGGGGUAGAAUUCCACGUGUAGCAGUGAAAUGCGUAGAUAUGUGGAGGAAUACCGAUGGCGAAGGCAGCCCCCUGGGAUAACACUGACGCUCAUGCACGAAAGCGUGGGGAGCAAACAGG
This 253-nucleotide ribosomal RNA is filed under the name uncultured bacterium. Its description in RNAcentral is "partial 16S ribosomal RNA". It matches the Rfam family "Bacterial small subunit ribosomal RNA", at positions 524 to 776 of the family's 1533-position model. The record is from RNAcentral.